AGAGUUUGAUCCUGGCUCAGAUUGAACGCUGGCGGCAGGCCUAACACAUGCAAGUCGAGCGGAUGAAGAGAGCUUGCUCUCUGAUUCAGCGGCGGACGGGGGAGUAAUGCCUAGGAAUCUGCCUAUUAGUGGGGGACAACGUUUCGAAAGGAACGCUAAUACCGCAUACGUCCUACGGGAGAAAGCAGGGGACCUUCGGGCCUUGCGCUAAUAGAUGAGCCUAGGUCGGAUUAGCUAGUUGGUGAGGUAAUGGCUCACCAAGGCGACGAUCCGUAACUGGUCUGAGAGGAUGAUCAGUCACACUGGAACUGAGACACGGUCCAGACUCCUACGGGAGGCAGCAGUGGGGAAUAUUGGUCAAUGGGCGCAAGCCUGAACCAGCCAUCCCGCGUGCAGGAUGACGGCCCUAUGGGUUGUAAACUGCUUUUAUACACCAAGAAAAAACAGGACGUGUCCUGGUCUGACGGUAGUGUAUGAAUAAGCAUCGGCUAACUCCGUGCCAGCAGCCGCGGUAAUACGGAGGAUGCAAGCGUUAUCCGGAUUCAUUGGGUUUAAAGGGUGCGUAGGCGGCUUUUUAAGUCAGUGGUGAAAUCUUGCCGCUUAACGGUAAAAUUGCCAUUGAUACUGAAAAGCUUGAGUACAUUUGAGGUAAGCGGAAUGUGUAGUGUAGCGGUGAAAUGCUUAGAUAUUACACAGAACACCAAUUGCGAAGGCAGCUUACUAAACUGUGACUGACGCUGAUGCACGAAAGCGUGGGGAGCGAACAGGAUUAGAUACCCUGGUAGUCCACGCCGUAAACGAUGCUCACUCGCUGUUUGCGAUACACAGCAAGCGGCCAAGCGAAAGCAUUAAGUGAACCACCUGGGGAGUACGAUCGCAAGGUUGAAACUCAAAGGAAUUGACGGGGGCCCGCACAAGCGGAGGAACAUGUGGUUUAAUUCGAUGAUACGCGAGGAACCUUACCUGGGCUUAAAUGUAGAGCGACAGAUUGUGAAAGCAGUCCUUCUUCGGACGAUCUACAAGGUGCUGCAUGGUUGUCGUCAGCUCGUGCCGUGAGGUGUCGGGUUAAGUCCCAUAACGAGCGCAACCCUUAUCGUUAGUUGCCAGCGGGUCAAGCCGGGGACUCUAGCGAGACUGCCACCGUAAGGUGUGAGGAAGGUGGGGAUGACGUCAAAUCAGCACGGCCCUUAUGUCCAGGGCUACACACGUGUUACAAUGGCAAGUACAAAGGGCAGCUACCAGGUGACUGGAUGCUAAUCUCUAAAGUCGGUCGUAGUUC
This 1279-nucleotide ribosomal RNA is filed under the name uncultured bacterium. RNAcentral's name for it is "bacterial SSU rRNA". It matches the Rfam family "Bacterial small subunit ribosomal RNA", at positions 8 to 1294 of the family's 1533-position model. The record is from RNAcentral.